Quercus lobata is the source of this 1016-nucleotide long non-coding RNA. RefSeq lists it as uncharacterized. Lineage: Eukaryota; Viridiplantae; Streptophyta; Magnoliopsida; Fagales; Fagaceae. The record is from RefSeq and is a predicted model, not a curated record. The transcript is spliced from 2 exons.
AGCAAGGGACGUGUGAACGCACAUGACCCAUUUUAAGUUGAGUGCCGAUAACCCUAACGUUAACAGCGUUAGCCAGAAGGAGGUCUUCUCCCCAAACACGCCGCUCACUGCUCUCUCAUCUCCUCCACAGAGCUUCCUCUCUCUCAACCUCCGGCCACCUCUGUUUUUCUUCAGCAACGUCAGACCGGCAAGGGCAUCUACUCUCUCAAUCUAACCCAGACGGCACACAGCCAAGCCAAGCCAAGCCCCUCUCAUCCUCCUCCACCUCUGUUUUUCUCAUGUUCAACGCCUCUCUCAUCCUCAUUAUUUGUUCUUCUCAGAAACCCCAACCACUGCCACAUGCUCCGCCUUUCCCACCUCUUCGCCGCCAAGGACCACCGAUUCUACCACACAUCUUUUCAAGGCUCCGACUUUUUUCCAGCUAUGCUUAUAGUCUCUAGGUCAGCCAAGGCUCUGAAAUGGGAUGAACCAAAAUGUGCAGAUUUGGGACUUCCCUUCCAUGAUUGAACUUCAUAGAGGGGCCUGAACUGACACCAUUGUGGGGCUGCUACAAUCAGACCAAACUCAAUAAGUUAGCAAAGGAUAAAAUUGAUAAAUGGAGGAUCUGCUAGUGCAUACAGGACUUGGCAUGUCAAACCAGUCAUUUGAUUUACUCCUGCCUUGCUGCUCUUUUGGGCAAGUCAGGUGUGUAAACUAAGUUCCCAGUUUCUAAUGACAUGAAUAGCACCCUAUAAGUCUCUUUCACAUUCACAAUGCACACACUGGCAUUCACAAACACCAAUCUCUCUUUUCUAUUGCAAGAUUGAGUCACAAUAUGGACCCAUGGUGAAAAACUUACACAGAAGAUGUUGGUUGGUUCUAUAUAAAUGAACAUUACUCAUAUCGUAAAAUGUAGUUUUAAGUAGGCAAUGCAAUUUUUUAAGCCUCACAAAGGAUAGCGGGAGCAAAUUACAGCUUUCAUAAUCCCCACAUGAAUUUGUAAUUGAUAAUGAAAAUAUUGUUGCUUCUAUUUUUAA